AAAAUUAAAAAAAAAAAAAAGAACGUAAAUAUAUCUGUCCUCUUCCAUGACAACUAAAGUUUGAGACACAAACACAUAAGAGAUCCCCCUUAAAUCAAGUUCCACAAGGCUCUUCCUAGUAAUGAAAAGACAAUAAACCACCCAUGAAUUUAACGACAAUGUAGUUAUAGAAAAAUGAUAAAUGUUAAAAAAAAAAAAAGAUUAUAUUUGACAUCUAGUUAGAAUGUGAAUACUGAUGAAAUUAUCAGAUUUACAUUACAUAUGGACUCCUACACCCAGAAAAUCAACUUAUUGAAAACCAAAAUACUGAUGAUGCAAAGUAUUACAUGUAUUAACUAAAGUAUAGCAAUUGGUCUGUUGUCUUCAAUAAUCAUUAUCGCAUGUGAUAAUCAUUAUCGCUAAAGUUGCUAAUGAUACAUGAAACUAAAUGGUAUAGUAUGACCUUAGCUGGAAAUAAACAUGUGAUAAUCGUUAUCACUAUUCAUUGGCAAUUAAGAAGCCAAAACCUUCCUGAUGUGAUGGCCUCACAUGUCUGUAGUACUGACAUACCGUGGAAAGCACCACACUUCAUUUACACGAAAUAUAUUCACAAAAACCAAAAAACCAAGGAUGAAUCUAUGUUUCUUUUUCUUCAU
This 635-nucleotide unclassified non-coding RNA is filed under the name Hevea brasiliensis (rubber tree). Lineage: Eukaryota; Viridiplantae; Streptophyta; Magnoliopsida; Malpighiales; Euphorbiaceae. The record is from RNAcentral.